CCUGAAACAUUCACGCAAGUUUCUAUAUAUAACAUGCAAUGGGUAAGAAUAGUUACGUCGAAAUAUAUUGAAGAAAAAUACGUGGAAGAUUAACGGACGAGAAGAUAAGAAAAUUGAAUGGAAAUGAUAUAGAAAAUUAAGAUCAUUGCAACGUUCUACGAUUAUCGUUGGUUUUGUUUGAAUUCGUUGAUUUCCCGCCACUUUUAAAAUGGCGUCCCCGAGUGGUCCAUCGCAUACGUAGUAAUAUAAAAGCUUGUCCUAAACGAGAUAGAGAGAACGAUAUAGGUGGUCUAGAUAAUUAUUUUCUCCUUUCUUUUCUACGAAAGUCGAUAAAAUCCAUUCCUUUCUUGCAAGGGUAUAUUUAGGUUUUUUAAAGAAAGAAAAAAAAAAAAGAAAAAAGAAGAAGAAAAGAAAAGACGAACACAUCGUAUUUCAAAAGUUAAACGGUUUCGCGCGUUCCUCAUUUUUAUGAUUGAAACGUUAAAAGUGUUGGUAUCGAUAGAAACAAUGAGAUGAAGAAUUAUAUGCUAAACAGAAUUCGUCUUCUUUCAUUCGCAGAUGUUUCGCGUAAGAAUCCGCGUAAAUUGCUUAGGAAUGACUAACAAGAAGCGCCGUCCACUUAUACACGUGAAUCAUUCGCUUUAAUAAAUAUCUCUGUAACGUGUUGAAAAACUUAAAUGUUGUUUCUCUCGUACGCGCGCGCCAAGAAUGUUUCUAUGAAAACUGCAAAAUGACGCUUCUUUCUCUAUUUACUUGAAUAAAUCCGAAUGGGGAACGAUGGAACGCAAAAUUCGCUAAGACGGCGGCGUCCGUCGUUGUUACUGACCGUUCGCAAAAGGCUAAAAGAAGAAAAAAAAAACAAAAACCAAAAAAAAAAACGAGAAGAAAAAAAGAGCUGAAAAACAAUGGUCCAUCACGUAUGGAAGAAUAAGAGAGAAGAGGAAAGAUCCAACGAUGACGUAGGAGGAGAGAGAAAGGGAUAUUUAAUGUAGCAGCAUGCUUGGAGCUCGCGUUGGCGAGGGUGAGAGAGGGAGAGAGAGACAGGAAGAGAGAGAAGGGGAGAAGAAAAAGAGAAAGAUAUAGUGGUACAAGGAGAGGAGUGGGAGCAGAGCCAAGCUGUCUGCUGACUCUUGCGAUCUCCGAGUGCCGAGGAGGCGAGCGCUCCUACGACGGACAUUAAGUAAUAUCUCGAAGUCCUUUCUUCGAACGGCUUCAACACAGCCACACGACGUGCCGCCGACUCGUUUUUCAAGGACAAUGGAUUUAUCCGCGAACGCAUUCGCGCGGAAAAGGCGUCACGCUCGCAUUCCACACGUUGCAGCAUUAUGCCAACAACAUCAAAAGAGAGGCUGCUGUUGUUGCUGAUCUUUGGUCUACCUACCGUCGUUUCAACGAACGACCUGCGAAAAAGCGUCCUCGAGAUAAUAACGUCACUUAAGAUCUAGCGGUCUCUUUCUCUCUCUUUUUUUCUCUUUCCUUCUCUCUCUCUCUCUCUCUCUCUCUCUCUCUCUCUCUCUCUUUUUUCUCUCUUUCUCUCUCUGCACCCUAUCCUCCCCUAUCGUUUUCUAUCUCACAAGUCUAGCCGAGUCAAGGUACUCAGGGAUAAUAAUGAGAUCUAGGAAACUUCGUGCACACAAUCUAUCGAUUAUCAUUUCUACAUGAAAGAGAAGAAGAUACGCGCUUGUUACGUGUUGUGUAAAGUCAUCAACACGGAGGGAGGAGGAUUGGCAGGAGUAGGAGCAGGAGCAGGAACAGGAGCAGGAGCAGGAGUAGCAGCAGCAGCAGCAGCAGCAGCAGCAGCAGCAGCAGCAGAAGCAGCAACAGCAACAGCGAGCACGUCAUCGUCCAAAGUAAUCUGGUCCGUGAGAAGAGAUACUAAACGGACAACGACGAAGAUGACGACAAAGACGACGAUGAUGAUAAGAUGAAGGAAGUGGGUCGAAGUGGGAUCUUGGACGAAGAUGAAAAUGAAAAAGAUAUUCGUAAAAACGAGAUAGAUAGAUAGAUACAUAGAGACAGAGAAAGACAGAGAAGGAGAGAGAGAGAGAGAGAGAGAGAGAGAGAGAGAGAGAGAGAGAGAGAGAGAAAGGAUUCUUCCUACCGUCCGCCAUCCUCCCGUUAUAUUAUCCUCUUCCUCUCGUACUCGCAAACGCGUUAAAAAUCGUUCGCUCACCUAACUCUCUUCAAUCGUAAGUCCGUAGUACGAGCAGCCACGACAUCUCAACGAGUCCCGUACACCGCAAACUCGUAAGCUCACUCUCUCGCACUCGUAGGCACACUCAGUACCACCACUGUAAACUUUUCUCUCUCUAUCUCUCUCUCUCUCUCUCCCGUUUUCUCUCUCUCUCUCUCUCUCUCUAUGUCUCUCUCUCUCUUUCUCUUUCUUUCUCUCUCUCUCUCUCUCUCUCUUUCUCUCUCUCUCUCUCUCUCUCUCUCUCCACGCGAAUCUCCCACGGGCCGAAUGUAAAAAGCGCGAAAAGGCACUUUCGAACGAGUGAGAAGGAACUCGGUGGUGGUAUUCCUCUUCUUAUUAUUAUUCUUCGUAUCUUUUCUUUUCUUCUCUUGUGUCUUCUUUUUUUAUUCGAAAAUCUCCGAGAGUCUCAAUUAUUUAUAUUCCACUCCCUUUUCCACGGAGCAGCAGCAUGCUACUACACAACUAUGGGUUUCCAGCCGUCGUCUCUCCACAGGUAUCUCUCUCUCUCGCUCUCCCUCCCUCACUCCCUCCCUCCCUCCCUUCCUCCUUUUUCUCCCGUUCUCCUCCUCCUCCUCCUCCUCCUGCUCCUGCCCCCACACCCACCGAUACACACUGGCACGCACGUCGGUUAUAUUCCUCUGCGAGUCGAGCGAGCGAGCGCUUGAAUCGUAUAUCGCGAGUCAAGAGUCGUAACGACGAACCUGUCGUAUCCGCGAUUCCUACGUGUCUCUCUCUCUCUCUCUCUCUCUUUCUUUCUCUUUCUCUUUUUCUAUCUAUAUCUGUCUCUAUCUAUCUAUCUAACGCGUUUUCACCUGCGUCCGUAUAAAUAUAGAUGCGUAAGUCGAUCCGACAGCCCGAGUUUCACCGCGACGUGUGACGACAUUCGUAUAUAAGAGGGAGAAAAAGAGAGAGAGAGAGGUAGAUAGAGAGAGAGAGAGAGAGAGAGAGAGAGAGAGAGAGAGAAAAAGAGAAAGAGAGAAAGAUAGAGAGAUUGACAUAAACGUAUCUCUCGAAAAGAAUUGUAACUUAUAAUCGCGAUCUUAGAAAUUUGUUGAGAACGAAAAACGAUGACGAUACGUCGUCACGAAGCAAUGUGUCGAGAGCUGUGGCCCCUUCGAUCCAACCUACUCAGGCCCGUUCGCCAACAGCUUCGUCCUCCUUCCCCUUUUCCUUCUCUUCACUACUCUACUCUCUGCUCUUUCCCUCCUUCCUUCCUUGACCACCUCUGUUGCCGCCGGCCGGCCCGCCGAGCGGAUCCGAUCCCCUCCGUUAAAACCCUCCCCGAUCCUCUUGGCGGCCCCUCGCCGUCUCCGACAAGACCAAUCGUCUCAUCUUCUUUCUUCAACCACCAACUCUUCUCCUCUCUCUUUCUCUUUUUUUUUCUCUCUUUCUUUCUAACAGCUCCUUCAAAAUCUUCUCUAUGGUAUCGGCCAAACGUUUUACGAAUGAAUCAUCUCCUCUUUAACUUAAUAUGUAACAUGGUGAAUAUGAGAUCGAGUUACAUUCUUCAAAAUAUGAGAUAUUAUCUUUAAAUUAGGAAGCGAUUUCUAUUUAUUCAUAGAUGGCGUGUUCAGGAUUUUCUAUGUGUACAUGGAGAAAGUUAUGGGGUUUUCCGUCUAGAUAUUCUUUCCUUUGUACAACUCCUUCCUAUGAAUCAGUUCAGUAUGACUAAUGUCAAUCUUUAAACAACGGUACUAUUGCUUCUAUGAUAUCUACUUAGGUACUUAUGUCUGGCUACGGUCUAUUUGACGAACUAUCGUUUAGGUGUAGAUGUGACGGAGUAAACAUUGUGUGCCUUGUGAAAAUUGAUAAUUUUAUAGAUUUUUGUUCGACACGAAUCGUUUUAAUAUAGCCGAGGUAUUUGUAGAAGAGAAUUCAAUUAAUAAGAUAAUUUAUAAUAAUAAAAACAAUGUAUUGUUUUACUUUUGCAAUAAAUAAGGAUAGAGUUAUCAAAGUUAUUAAACUGUAGUAACAAGAGAAUAAGACUUAUAAAACUGAAAUAUCUAAUGAAAGACUAUAAUAGAUUUCUCUCUAUUCAAUCGAUGGACGACUACCAUUUAGUUGGUCCUGUACCAAUGCUUGCUCCAGUUGUUGAUGCUAUGAAAGGAUUCGUCGAAGCAGCUAGGAGGAAAAAUUUAGUUAGAUAUAAAAUUUGGUCUAUCCUC
Long non-coding RNA from Vespa mandarinia (Asian giant hornet), 4359 nucleotides. The record is from RefSeq and is a predicted model, not a curated record. NCBI's taxonomy places the organism in Eukaryota, Metazoa, Arthropoda, Insecta, Hymenoptera, Vespidae.